Molecule: ribosomal RNA, 468 nt
Filed under: uncultured bacterium
Lineage: Bacteria
Description: partial 16S ribosomal RNA
Rfam family: Bacterial small subunit ribosomal RNA
Source: RNAcentral
GACGAACGCUGGCGGCGUGCUUAACACAUGCAAGUCGAACGGAAAGGCCCUGCUUUUGUGGGGUGCUCGAGUGGCGAACGGGUGAGUAACACGUGAGUAACCUGCCCUUGACUUUGGGAUAACUUCAGGAAACUGGGGCUAAUACCGGAUAGGAGCUCCUGCUGCAUGGUGGGGGUUGGAAAGUUUCGGCGGUUGGGGAUGGACUCGCGGCUUAUCAGCUUGUUGGUGGGGUAGUGGCUUACCAAGGCUUUGACGGGUAGCCGGCCUGAGAGGGUGACCGGCCACAUUGGGACUGAGAUAGGGCCCAGAGUGCUACGGGAGGCAGCAGUGGGGAAUAUUGCGCAAUGGGCGGAAGCCUGAUGCAGCAACGCCGCGUGCGGGAUGACGGCCUUCGGGUUGUAAACCGCUUUCGCCUGUGACGAAGCGUGAGUGACGGUAAUGGGUAAAGAAGCACCGGCUAACUACGUG